This 603-nucleotide ribosomal RNA is filed under the name uncultured fungus. Its description in RNAcentral is "eukaryotic LSU rRNA". It matches the Rfam family "Eukaryotic large subunit ribosomal RNA", at positions 23 to 641 of the family's 3401-position model. Lineage: Eukaryota; Fungi. The record is from RNAcentral.
ACCCGCUGAACUUAAGCAUAUCAAUAAGCGGAGGAAAAGAAACCAACAGGGAUUGCCCUAGUAACGGCGAGUGAAGCGGCAUCAGCUCAAAUUUGAAAUCUGGCGUCUUUGGCGUCCGAGUUGUAAUUUGCAGAGGGCGCUUUGGCAUUGGCAGCGGUCCAAGUUCCUUGGAACAGGACGUCACAGAGGGUGAGAAUCCCGUACGUGGUCGCUAGCCUUUACCGUGUAAAGCCCCUUCGACGAGUCGAGUUGUUUGGGAAUGCAGCUCUAAAUGGGAGGUAAAUUUCUUCUAAAGCUAAAUACUGGCCAGAGACCGAUAGCGCACAAGUAGAGUGAUCGAAAGAUGAAAAGCACUUUGGAAAGAGAGUUAAAAAGCACGUGAAAUUGUUGAAAGGGAAGCGCUUGCAGCCAGACUUGCCUGUAGUUGCUCAUCCGGGUUUUUACCCGGUGCACUCUUCUAUAGGCAGGCCAGCAUCAGUUUGGGCGGUUGGAUAAAGGUCUCUGUCAUGUACCUCUCUUCGGGGAGAACUUAUAGGGGAGACGACAUGCAACCAGCCCGGACUGAGGUCCGCGCAUCUGCUAGGAUGCUGGCGUAAUGGCUGU